GACGAACGCUGGCGGCGUGCUUAACACAUGCAAGUCGAACGAAAAGGCCCUGCUUGCAGGGUACUCGAGUGGCGAACGGGUGAGUAACACGUGGGUUAUCUGCCCUGCACUUCGGGAUAAGCCUGGGAAACUGGGUCUAAUACCGGAUAGGAGCCAUUUUUAGUGUGAUGGUUGGAAAGUUUUUUCGGUGUAGGAUGAGCUCGCGGCCUAUCAGCUUGUUGGUGGGGUAAUGGCCUACCAAGGCGGCGACGGGUAGCCGGCCUGAGAGGGUGGACAGCCACAUUGGGACUGAGAUACGGCACAGACUCCGACGGGAGGCAGCAGUGGGGAAGAUUGCACAAUGGGCGCAAGCCGGAUGCAGCGACGCCGCGUGGGGGAUGACGGCCUUCGGGUUAUAAACUCCAUUCGCUAGGGACGAAGCUUUUUGUGACGGUACCUAGAUAAGAAGCACCGGCUAACUACGUG
Molecule: ribosomal RNA, 465 nt
Filed under: uncultured bacterium
Lineage: Bacteria
Description: partial 16S ribosomal RNA
Rfam family: Bacterial small subunit ribosomal RNA
Source: RNAcentral